RNAcentral lists this ribosomal RNA (854 nucleotides) under uncultured archaeon. Its description in RNAcentral is "bacterial SSU rRNA". It matches the Rfam family "Archaeal small subunit ribosomal RNA", at positions 39 to 899 of the family's 1478-position model. The record is from RNAcentral.
UGAUACUAAGCCAUGCGAGUCAUUGUAGCAAUACAAGGCAUACGGCUCAGUAACGCGUAGUCAACCUAACCUAUGGACGGGAAUAACCUCGGGAAACUGAGAAUAAUGCCCGAUAGAACAUUAUGCCUGGAAUGGUUUAUGUUCCAAAUGAUUUAUCGCCGUAGGAUGGGACUGCGGCCUAUCAGUUUGUUGGUGAGGUAAUGGCCCACCAAGACUAUUACAGGUACGGGCUCUGAGAGGAGUAGCCCGGAGAUGGGUACUGAGACACGGACCCAGGCCCUAUGGGGCCCAGCAGGCGAGAAAACUUUGCAAUGUGCGAAAGCACGACAAGGUUAAUCCGAGUGGUUUCUGCUAAAGGAACCUUUUGUCAGUCCUAGAAACACUGAUGAAUAAGGGGUGGGCAAGUUCUGGUGUCAGCCGCCGCGGUAAAACCAGCACCUCAAGUGGUCAGGAUGAUUAUUGGGCCUAAAGCAUCCGUAGCCGGCUCUGUAAGUUUUCGGUUAAAUCUGUACGCUCAACGUACAGGCUGCCGGGAAUACUGCAAAGCUAGGGAGUGGGAGAGGUAGACGGUACUCGGUAGGAAGGGGUAAAAUCCUUUGAUCUAUUGACGACCACCUGUGGCGAAGGCGGUCUACCAGAACACGUCCGACGGUGAGGGAUGAAAGCUGGGGGAGCAAACCGGAUUAGAUACCCGGGUAGUCCCAGCUGUAAACCAUGCAAACUCAGUGAUGCAUUGGCUUGUGGCCAAUGCAGUGCUGCAGGGAAGCCGUUAAGUUUGCCGCCUGGGAAGUACGUACGCAAGUAUGAAACUUAAAGGAAUUGGCGGGGGAGCACCACAAGGGGUGAAGCCUGCG